AGAAUAGAUCCAUAACCAAACAAGUAAGCAUCACGGAUCAUAAGUGUUAGCACCAGGAGAUCAAUUUUGACACCACACUACACACUACACACUACACUACCAUUCUCACAAAUCACAUGAAAUUAAUUAAUCAGUUUACUAACCCCACUUGUGAAUCUUAAAAUAAUCAUUUUUAGCUUUGGCAAAUCCCAAUUAACCACAACCAGAACCAAAUAAGGCAAUGACAGUGUGAGACACAGUGAUAUGAACUCCGACUCUAAGCUUAGCAGAGAAGAACAAAAGAAAAAAAGCAAAUCCAAAAUGGGUUUCACAUUCAGCACCAUGACUCUAAACCUUCUCCUCCUAAUAGCAAUGGUAGCCACCAACAUUCUCUCACUCUACCACCUCUCCACAACACUUCAAUCCCCUAAAUCCCCAAAUCCACACACACUAAUCCCCGACCAACUCCUCCGUCAACUUCACACCAUACGCGCCACCAUUAACCACCUCACGCGCCUCCAACCCUCAGACACAAAAUCAUCAAUCCCUUCAGAUCUAUUACUAUACUCACACCUCUCUCCAAUUGCUUCUUCAUGCCAUCACCACCCUGAUCUUCUCCACAAGUACAUGACUUACACACCUUUCUCUCUUUGUCCUUCCGAUUCCGACCUCGCCGAAUCCCUAAUUCUUCGCGGUUGUCACCCUCUCCCUCGCCGACGAUGCUUCUCCAAAACCCCCAAAAAACUAUCAAUUUCGCUUCCUCAAAACCCUUUCCCUAAUUCUCUCCCUGAUUCCUCCGUAAUUUGGGAUCGUUACUCAUGUAAAUCAUUCGAUUGUCUCAACCGUCAAAACCCUAAUCUCGGUUUCGAACCUUCACGUGAAGCUUCCAAGUUUAACACCUACAGUUCCGAAUUAGAUCUUCCAGUUCAACAGCUUCUCCAGAUCGCGAAAACCGCGAAAUCGGUUCUUCGACUCGGUCUCGACGUCGGCGGUGGAACUGGCUCAUUCGCCGCCGCGAUGAAGCUUCGUAAUGUUACGGUAGUUACAACUACCAUGAAUGUUGCUGCGCCUUAUAGUGAGACUGUUGCGUUGAGGGGGCUUGUACCGCUUCACGUGCCGUUGCAGCAACGGUUGCCGAUUUUCGACGGUGUUGUGGAUAUUGUUCGGUGUGGGCGUGCGGUGAACCGGUGGAUUCCGGUGACGAUGAUGGAAUUUUUGUUGUUUGAUGUUGAUAGGGUUUUGAGAGGUGGAGGGUUUUUGUGGUUGGAUCAUUUUUUUAGUAAGGGUGUAGAUCUUGAGAAAGUGUAUGCGCCUUUGAUUGGGAAAUUGGGUUACAAGAAGGUGAAGUGGGCAACGGGGAAUAAGACUGAUGCUGGUGGUGUUAAGAAUGGGGAACUUUACUUGACUGCAUUGCUCCAAAAGCCUCUCUCAAGAUGAGGUUGUCACUCAAAAGUGACAGAUUGGUUGAAUUCAAGUUUUGUACAUUAAACAAUGUUGAACCUAAUCCUGGUUGGUGGAAGACCCAAAUGUUGUGUUUAAUCAGUGAUUUCACAGUAAGCAUGGAAUAUUACUUGGGGCUCUUGAGGCCACUUCCUUCCUUCAUUCAGCCCAUACCACAUAAUGCAUCCUACAAAAACUGUUUGAGUUGAUAUAUGUGCUGUAAGGAAGAUAAGCAUGCUGGUUUAUCCUGAUUUCCUUGCUCUGGAAUUUUUAUGGGGCGCUUAAUGAAGCAGUGUUCAUGGCCAAUGUGAUCCAUCAUCCCAAUGUUGUAGAAAAAGAAUCAUUAACGCAUGGGAACAAAGCUAGAAGGAAGUCAAGCACAGGUCUAUGUAUAUCCUGUGGACUUGGGGGAACUUGUGGAGGAAAAUAGUGUUUAUGAUCGUUUUUGCUUCUUCUUUGAUUCAAUUGUUCUAUUCCAAUUAUUUGUUUGGAAAUAAAUUCAAGGAAUGUUGUUGCCUGAUUCGUGUUCCCUCAUCACCUAGUUUUCAUUAUUCUAUUUGUUAACCAUGUUGUUAAUGCAAAAUAUCAAUAGGUUUUACUAAUGGCUAAUAUCUGCCAGGGAAUCUA
This is an RNA transcript of Cicer arietinum (chickpea), 2046 nucleotides long. It is a transcript of the gene named probable methyltransferase At1g29790, with no coding region annotated. Lineage: Eukaryota; Viridiplantae; Streptophyta; Magnoliopsida; Fabales; Fabaceae. The record is from RefSeq and is a predicted model, not a curated record.